This 531-nucleotide ribosomal RNA is filed under the name uncultured bacterium. RNAcentral's name for it is "bacterial SSU rRNA". It matches the Rfam family "Bacterial small subunit ribosomal RNA", at positions 110 to 658 of the family's 1533-position model. The record is from RNAcentral.
GUAAUGUAUCGCUAACGUACCCUUUAGUCCGGGAUAGCCAGGGAAACUCUGGGUAAUACCGGGAAAUAUUCUCUUUUCGCAUUGGAAGGAGACUCAAAGGAGCAAUCCGCUGAAGGAGCGGGCGAUAUCGUAUCAGCUAGUUGGUGAGGUAACGGUCACCAAGGCAUCGACGCGUAGCCGGACUGAGAGGUCGGUCGGCCACAUUGGGACUGAGACACUGCCCAGACUCCUACGGGGGGCUGCAGUAACGAAUCUUCCGCAAUGCACGCAAGUGUGACGGAGCGACGCCGCGUGUGGGACGAAGUCCUUCGGGAUGUAAACCACUGUCAGGGGUUACCAAGUUCUUGAGGAGCCCCAGAGGAAGGCACGGUAAUCUGUGCCAAGCAAGCCGCGGUAAAGACCAGAGGUGCCGAGCGUUAGGCGGAAUCACUGGGCUUAAAGCGUGUGUAGGCGGGUCGUCAAGUGUCUUGUGAAAUCCCCCGGUUCAACGGGGAAUGGUGGGCAUACUGGGAUCUUGAGCAGGUCUAGGGG